GGCUGGGUAGCUCAGUUGGUGAGAGCGCACGACUCAUAAUCGUGAGGUCGCGGGUUCGAAUCCCGCUCCAGCUA
This 74-nucleotide transfer RNA is filed under the name Mycetocola lacteus. It matches the Rfam family "tRNA". Rfam says of the family: Transfer RNA (tRNA) molecules are approximately 80 nucleotides in length. Their secondary structure includes four short double-helical elements and three loops (D, anti-codon, and T loops). Further hydrogen bonds mediate the characteristic L-shaped molecular structure. tRNAs have two regions of fundamental functional importance: the anti-codon, which is responsible for specific mRNA codon recognition, and the 3' end, to which the tRNAs corresponding amino acid is attached (by aminoacyl-tRNA synthetases). tRNAs cope with the degeneracy of the genetic code in two manners: having more than one tRNA (with a specific anti-codon) for a particular amino acid; and 'wobble' base-pairing, i.e. permitting non-standard base-pairing at the 3rd anti-codon position. The record is from Rfam by way of RNAcentral. RNAcentral also lists the same sequence under 3 other names. Lineage: Bacteria; Bacillati; Actinomycetota; Actinomycetes; Micrococcales; Microbacteriaceae.